GAUGAACGCUGGCGGUGUGCCUAAUACAUGCAAGUCGAGCGACAAGACGAGGAGCUCUCUCCUCUACCGUUAGCGGCGGACGGGCGAGUAACACGUGGAUAACAUUCUACUUUGUCUGGGAUAACAUCGGAGAACCGCUGAUACUAAUACCUCAUAUAUUCAACGGCAUGAUGCAAUAGUGCAUCACGGCUUUGCCGACACUUAUAGCUGAUUCCGUGUCGCAUUAGCUAGUUGGUAAGGUAACGGCUUACCAAGGCAACGAUGCGUAGCCGACCUGAGAGGGUGAUCAGCCACACUGGAACUGAGACACGGUCCAGACUCCUACGGGAGGCAGCAGUAGGGAAUCUUCCGCAAUGGGCGAAAGCCUGACGGAGCAACGCCGCGUGAGUGAUGAAGGUCUUCGGAUCGUAAAACUCUUUUAUUAGGAAAGAACAAAUGUGUAUGUAACUAUGCACGUCUUGACGGUACCUAAACAGAAAGCCACGGCUAACUUCGUG
Molecule: ribosomal RNA, 497 nt
Filed under: uncultured bacterium
Lineage: Bacteria
Description: partial 16S ribosomal RNA
Rfam family: Bacterial small subunit ribosomal RNA
Source: RNAcentral